RNAcentral lists this long non-coding RNA (1065 nucleotides) under Vulpes vulpes (red fox). Its description in RNAcentral is "lncRNA (ENSVVUG00000026976.1)". Lineage: Eukaryota; Metazoa; Chordata; Mammalia; Carnivora; Canidae. The record is from RNAcentral.
AUGUCACGGGGAGGCAGCCAAUCCUGGUGGGGCCGCGCCGCCCGCCCCGGGCCGGCCACCCAACUGCGACGCGCGGGGGGCACCACCGGGGCGUCGGGGACCCCGACUGCGGCGCCCCUCCCGGGAGCCGGCCGGCAGCUCCGCGCUCGGCCCCGGCGGGGGCACCGCCCACGGUGGGCAGGGCGGCCUAGCGGGGGGCGCUGCCCUCCGGGAGGCUGGGCUGGGGGCGGGGUGGGGUGUCCGCGUUGUCAUGGGGACGCGGCGCCCCCUCGCGGGCCGGGGAGGGAGCUGGCAGUCCCGUCUGGCUGCGCUCUCCGCCUCCGCUCUGACCGAGCACCGGACCUGGAGGUGGUGUCGCGCCUCGCCCGGCCGCUCUCUCCGCAGGGCCCCGCUCACACGGGGGCCUCGGAGGCGCGAACGCUUGACCCCAGCAAGAGGUCACGGGUGGGUGGGGUCGGCUCGGUCGCCACGGUUCCGUCGGGGCAGGGAGCCGAGCGCUGGCAGUUUGCAGCCCCAGGGCCGCCGGUCCGGCCGCCGGGCUGCGGGAGAAGAGGGGCGCCGUCGGGGCCGGGGAAGGAGCCGGAGAGAGAAGGCAGGCAACAGUCCGCCGGCGGGAGAGGAGCCCGCCCGUCGCACACAACCCUGGCCCGGCCCCCACCCCGCCGCCCGGCUCCCCGCUCCCGGCCUCCAGGCGGGGAAAGGGUGCGCGUCCCCGUCCUCCCUCCAGCCGCGGCCUGGAGGGCGAGUUCACCGAUGCCUGUGAGGGGAGGCCGAGGGCCCAAGGUCACCCGGGGCGGAGCCGGGAGCGGGACCUCAGGGCGAGCAGCCGGUCUCUUGAGGUGUCCGGGAACCGCACGGGUCGGGGCCUGGGGACUUGGGGCCUUGCCUGUGCGGGGCGGGAGGGCCCGGGAGUCCGCGGCGGGUGGCUUCAGCACCUCGGAGAGCUCCGCCUCGUCCCUGACCUUGCCCGCCCGCUCCGCACCACCAGGCACCCGCCUCCAUCCGAGACGGCCCUUCCAGGGGUCCGCCAGGGUCGGGGGUGUCCCCCCCCCGCCCAGGCCCUGA